UCGGGAAUUUUGGGCAAUGGGCGAAAGCCUGACCCAGCAACGCCGCGUGAAGGAUGAAGUAUUUCGGUAUGUAAACUUCGUAAGAAUAGGAAGAAUAAAUGACGGUACUAUUUAUAAGGUCCGGCUAACUACGUGCCAGCAGCCGCGGUAAUACGUAGGGACCAAGCGUUGUUCGGAUUUGCUGGGCGUAAAGGGCGCGUAGGCGGCAAUUCAAGUCAUCUGUGAAAUCUCCGGGCUUAACUCGGAACGGUCAGAUGAUACUGCUUUGCUAGAGUGCAGAAGGGGCAAUCGGAAUUCUUGGUGUAGCGGUGAAAUGCGUAGAUAUCAAGAGGAACACCUGAGGUGAAGACGGGUUGCUGGGCUGACACUGACGCUGAGGCGCGAAAGCCAGGGGAGCAAACGGGAUUAGAUACCCAAGUAGUCCCUGAGCGGGCUGGCAAGGCGCAU
RNAcentral lists this ribosomal RNA (447 nucleotides) under uncultured bacterium. Its description in RNAcentral is "bacterial SSU rRNA". It matches the Rfam family "Bacterial small subunit ribosomal RNA", at positions 355 to 825 of the family's 1533-position model. The record is from RNAcentral.